AACGAACGCUGGCGGCAUGCCUAACACAUGCAAGUCGAACGAGAUCCUUCGGCGUCUAGUGGCGCACGGGUGCGUAAACCGUGGGAAUCUGCCUUUAUGUCCGGCAUAACAGUUAGAAAUGACUGCUAAUAACGGAUGAUGACGUUAAGUCCAAAGGUCUAUCGCCUGAGGAUGAGCCCGCGUAGGAUUAGGUAGUUGGUGUGGUAACGGCGCACCAAGGCGACGAUCCUUAGCUGGUCUGCGAGGAUGAUCAGUCACACUUGGACUGAGACACAGCCCAGUCUGCUACGGGAGGCAGCAGUAGGUAAUAUAGGACGAGGGGCGCAAGCCUGAUCCAGCAAUGCCGCGUGAGUGAUGAAGGCCGUAGGGAUGUAAAUUUGUUUGACCCGGGAUGAUAAUGACAGUACCGGGAGAAGAAGCCCCGGCUAACUCCGUG
RNAcentral lists this ribosomal RNA (436 nucleotides) under uncultured bacterium. Its description in RNAcentral is "partial 16S ribosomal RNA". It matches the Rfam family "Bacterial small subunit ribosomal RNA", at positions 29 to 507 of the family's 1533-position model. The record is from RNAcentral.